This 443-nucleotide ribosomal RNA is filed under the name uncultured bacterium. RNAcentral describes it as "partial 16S ribosomal RNA". It matches the Rfam family "Bacterial small subunit ribosomal RNA", at positions 338 to 795 of the family's 1533-position model. The record is from RNAcentral.
CCUACGGGUGGCAGCAGUGGGGGAUAUUGGGCAAUGGAGGCAACUCUGACCCAGCAAUGCCGCGUGAGUGAUGAAGGUAAUUUUAUUGUAAAGCUCUUUUCUUUGGAACGAAUAAAUGACGGUACCAAAGGAAUAAGCCCCGGCUAACUACGUGCCAGCAGCCGCGGUAAUACGUAGGGGGCAGGGGUUGUUCGGAAUGACUGGGCGUAAAGGGGGUGUAGGGGGUAUGAUAAGUUAGAUGUUGAAUACCCAGGGCUUAACUCGGGUGUUGCAGCUAAAACUGUUAGACUUGAGUACUGGAGAGGAGAGUGGAAUUCCUAGUGUAGCGGUGGAAUGCGUAGAUAUUAGGAGGAACACCAGUUGCGAAGGCGACUAUCUGGACAGCAACUGACACUGAGGCACGAAAGCGUGGGGAGCAAACAGGAUUAGAUACCCGAGUAGUC